This 259-nucleotide ribosomal RNA is filed under the name uncultured bacterium. RNAcentral's name for it is "partial 16S ribosomal RNA". The record is from RNAcentral.
CUGCUGCCUCCCGUAGGAGUUUGGGCCGUGUCUCAGUCCCAAUGUGGCCGGUCGCCCUCUCAGGCCGGCUACUGAUCGUUGCCUUGGUGAGCCGUUACCUCACCAACAAGCUAAUCAGACGCGGGUCCAUCCUAUACCACCUCAGUUUUUCACACCGAACCAUGCGGUUUUAGUGCGCUUAUGCGGUAUUAGCAGUCAUUUCUAACUGUUAUCCCCCUGUAUAGGGCAGGUUACCCACGCGUUACUCACCCGUCCGCCA